This is an RNA transcript of Diorhabda carinulata, 6704 nucleotides long. It is a transcript of the gene named oocyte zinc finger protein XlCOF6-like, with no coding region annotated. The record is from RefSeq and is a predicted model, not a curated record. The transcript has 3 exons. NCBI's taxonomy places the organism in Eukaryota, Metazoa, Arthropoda, Insecta, Coleoptera, Chrysomelidae.
AUUCUGAAUUCUGGUGAAAGUAAUCAUGUUCGCGUUGACUAUUUUAUAUCAAAAGGUUCCAAGGUUGUAACUAAAUUCUUCUACUUUUUCUGUGGUUUUAACUAACCUACUUCUGUCUGUAUUGAAGUUGUACUUGUUUUAUAUACUAUUAAAAUAAUGGUUGUUAAUACAUUUUUUACUAAAUAAAGUGAUACAAUUAAGAGGACGGAAAUACAGGAAAGGUUAUUAACAAAGAAAUGGACGUCCAAAAUGUUAAACAAGAAAUAGAUAACCACGAUGAUUUCCUGUUAAAUAUCGAUAUAAAAAAAGACUUAAUUGACGAAGUAUCUACAAUAAAAAUUCAAAAUACAAAUGAACAAAUAAAUGGAAUUCAUUUAAUCAAACAAGAAAUCAACGAUGACUUAAAUACAAAUGAAAUAUUUGAUAAUAAUGAGGAUGUAACUAAUAAACGAAAAAGGAACAUUUCGAGUACUCAAUUCAUACCAAACAAACCGGGAUAUUCGAAAGCAGCCCAUAGAAAGGAAAUUAAAUCUAAAGUUGUAGGGUUGAUAAGAGAUGGAAAAUAUUUGCAGCCAAAUGCUAUGGGGUUAAUGAUAUGUGUAUAUUGUGGGAAUUUAUACACGAAACAAGUAGAAUUGUUAUGCCACAUAACAAUCAAUCAUUGUAUAAAAGUAAACAAUUUUUAUAAGAUGAAACUUCAUCAUAAAAUUAGAAGUGGUACAUGUAUUAUGGAAAAUAUUGAUAUAAAAGAUGAAAUUGAAAUAAUUGAACAUGAAUUGAAAGUGGAGCUGCAGGACACUAAAAACCGUUUGGAUGUUGCCAAUAAUUUAAAUACAAGUCUAUAUAAUGGUUCGAAAUCCAUUCAAAUCAAUUCAAAUGUGGAUUCACAUACUUACAGAAGGUCAAAACCAUUAAAAUGUGACAUUAAUAGGAAACUUUCCUCUUAUGAAAAUAAUUUGAAUAUACAUAUGAAUACCCACAUAGGAAAUAAGCCAUUCAAAUGUGACAUUUGUUUGAAAAAUUUUGCACGUAAGGGAAACUUGAAGUCACAUUUGCGUAGUCAUACAGGAGAAAAGCCCUUCAAAUGUGACAUUUUCUUAAAACCAUUUUUACAGAAACAUGUUUUGAAGACACAUUUGCUUAAUCAUACUGGAGAAAAACCAUUUAAGUGUGAUAUUUGUUUCAAAACGUUUUCAGAUAAGAAUAAUUUGAAGACACAUUUGCGUAGUCAUACAGGAGAAAAGCCAUUCAAAUGUGACAUUUGUUUAAAAACUUUUUCCCAUAAAGGUAACUUGAAGAAACAUUUGAGUAUCCAUAUAGGAGAAAAGCCAUUCAAAUGUGAAUUUUGUUUCAAAACUUUUUCACAGUUAAUUGAGUUGAAGGCACAUUUUCGUAGUCAUACAGGAGAAAAGCCAUUUCAGUGUGACAUUUGUUUGAAAAAUUUUUCACGUGAAGAAAACUUCAAGACACAUUUGCGUGGUCAUACAGGAGAAAAGCCAUUCAAAUGUGACAUUUGUUUGAAAAAUUUUGCACAUAAGGGAAACUUGAAGUCACAUUUGCGUGGUCAUACAGGAGAAAAGCCAUUCAAAUGUGACAUUUGUUUGAAAAAUUUUACACGUAAGGGAAACUUAAAGUCACAUUUGCGUAGUCAUACAGGAGAAAAGCCCUUCAAAUGUGACAUUUGCUUAAAAACUUUUUCACAGAAACAUGUUUUGAAGACACAUUUGCGUAAUCAUACUGGAGAAAAACCAUUUAAGUGUGACGUUUGUUUCAAAACGUUUUCAGAUAAGAAUAAUUUGAAGAAACAUUUGCGUAGUCAUACAGGAGAAAAAUCAUUUUAAUGUAGGCUGGCCAUAAAAACUUUGUUCAGAAACGGGACAGUAGAUUAUUUUUGCGGUUGAGGUGUAGGGUACAGGAAAGAACUCAAAUGUGCCGGAAAUUCCAACAUUUCUUUUGCAUUUAAAUUUCAAAGCCUCUAAAACAUCAUUAUUUUUUGGAUGUUUAAUACAGGCCUAACCAAAAACUAAAUAAAAAUGUUUUGUAGUUCGGUAUGUUUAUACUAAACACUCAUUAUGUUUAUGAAAUUAUUGAAACAAAAUACAAAACAAGAUAUUUACAAAACUUCAAAACAUCCUCCUACAAAAUAUUUUUUUCCUAAAAUAAAACAAAUUCACCUCAAUUAAAUAGUUUGCUCUAUCAACAUGUAUACCAGUGACAGUUCAAUCAACAUUUUCACUUGAGUGUCCUGUUUGUUGUGUAGUUUCUUUUUUUGUUCCAAAAGUGCUUCUGGGAACUGCUUAUUCUUUUCAAUACAAUUUCGGUUUUUAUAGGCGUUUUGUCAAAUUCACCACAAGAAGGAUCGAAAUUCACUCGGGUAACAAGGGAUUUACCUUUUCGAUCUGUAGACGAGAUUUUUCAAAUGACCAAAUGUUAUUCAUCAGGGAAAAUACACGUUAAACUAGAGCUUAGUCAACACUGAGGUUAUUACAACAAAAACACGAGGUAUUACCUUACUUAUAAUUGGAAAAACUGACAAAAGUUACAUGAAUAUUUUAUAUAAGCAACGACCCGCCGCUAUAUUUUGCUUAGUAUUAAUAUCUACAUUCUGCGCAUGAGGAGGUCAUUGUUGCGUGGCGCCAUCUACAAACCACGGUCCACACCAACAACCUCAGCCACUGCAAAAUAAUCUUAUUGAUAGGAUGGAAUCUGUUUAUCUUUUAACACACACAAUUUUACACGGUUUUCUAUUGAAAAAAAAAUUACUUGAUAUUUGCUAAAACCCCGCCUUUCCCCCAAGUGAGAUUUGGAAAGAUUUAACUUUUGUCGAAAAAUGAGUGAUUUGAACCGCCCGCUGUCGUCUGGCUUGCAUUGCAGCAGCUUAUAAUUUAAUGGAAGAACCUCUUUUUUGUCGAUGGUGGCAGAGACAAUUGUUUUUACGGCGUUAUGAAUAUAGUGGCGAUCGAAUUAAUUCUAUACACUUGAUAACUGGUCCGGUUCGGAACAGUUCCAGUGCAGGUAUUAAGAACAAACCUUUAGUUAUAAAUGUAAGAAUUUUAUAGUGAAAUAAAACAUAUUUGCAAAAUAAGGUUUUGUGUUUACACAUAAAGCCCUUAGUAUUAUCACAAAUCUGCCGUAUCUGAAUUUAUUUAUAUUAUUUUAAACAGAAUAUACCGUAUCAAAAUAAUAUUAAUAAGUAGUGUAAACCACUGUAUUAUCUUGAAUUAUGACAGAUUUCGUUAAUUCAAUUAUAUCAAAUAAAAAAAAUGUAUAAUUACCCAUUUGGGGUGACUAUGCUGUUUUUGGCUUCCCCUGUAUAGUUGCAUUUUUUCAGAUACGGAGUAUUGUAGUUAGACCAUCGAUAUGUUUUGCUAAAUAAAAAUUUCUUCUUUUGUCAACAAAUAAGUGUAGUAUUUGUUUCUAACAGUCACUUCUUUAAACAAAAUAUUGUAACAACUGAAAUUAUUUAGAAAUAUACAAAACCUCAUUUAGAUUGAUAAUUAUUUUAAUCUCAAUACUAUAGUUCCAAUCAACUACUCCUCAAUUAAAUUAUUACAGCACUUUUAAAUAGUUUUUUUUAAUAAUUUUGACAGAAACAGAUUUAUUCAUUUCUUAUAUAUCUAUGGUUCGCAUUCUAAUUCUGGUGAACGUAAUCAUGUUCGUGUUGAAUAUUUUCUUUCAAAAGGUUCCAAGGUUGUAACUAAAUUCUUCUACUUUUUCUAUGGUUUCAACUAACCUACUUUUGUCUUUAUUGAAGUUGUAUUUGUUUUAUAUAUUAUUUAAAUAAUGGUUGUUAAUACAUUUUUUACUAAUUAAAGUGAUACAAUUAAGAGCACGAAAUUACAUGAAAGGUUAUUAACAAAGAAAUGGACGUCCAAAAUGUUAAACAAGAAAUAGAUAACCACGAUGAUUUCCUGUUAAAUAUCGAUAUAAAAAAAGAUUUCAUUGACGAAGCAUCUACAAUAAAAAUCCAAAAUACAAAUGAACAAAUAAAUGAAAUUCAUUCAAUCAAACAAGAAAUCGACGAUGACUUGAAUACAAAUAAAAUAUUUGAUAACAAUGUGGAUGCAACUAAUAAAACAAAAAGCAACAUUUCGAUUACUCAAUUCAUACUAAAUAAACCGGGAUAUUCGAAAGCUGCCCGUAGAAAGGGAAUUAAAUCAAAUGUUCUCUGGACGCGACAACCUAGUCAUUGGCCUUCUUCUAGUCAACAAUUGGCUCCCGUUUUUCUAGUUAUUGGCCACAGAAAGCAAGCGAGCAAGAAAAAAUAAAUUGGUGGUAUUUUUUAUGUAGAAUAAACUCCAUGCUCUGAAAUACAAAAAUAACAUAUAAGUAGGUAUGUAUAUAGUUAUAUAAUAUAUUUUCAAAAGUGGGUAGUUUAGAAACAAAACUUUUUUUAAUUUAUAUUAUUUGUAGGUAGGUAUAAUGUAUAAUCAUUAGGAUUUAUUCAAUAGAAAAUUGGAUCUAAAUAAGAAACAAUUAUUUAAAAAAGAUCUUUAAACGACUAAGGGUUGAAUUGACAAAUUAGUCUAAAACUGAUGGAAGCAGUAAAACCUAUUUGAACUACAUGGUCAUCACGAAAUAACAAAAAAAUCAAUAAAUAGCAGAUCAAAAUGGGUAAUGGUCAUUUACCCCUACAAAUAUGAUUUAUUUCCAUGGAAAAUUCGUAUCUCAGCCUAUCUUCUGCACUGUCUUUCAUUACUUGAGUAGGAAGUCCUUAUAAAAUUUGUUCUUGAGCUAUGAUGCUGACAUCUGUUUCAGCAAGUUUAAAUACAGUUUUUUGUUCAUCGAGGGCCAUUAUUUCAAAUUCUGCUCCAAAAUCGUAAUUAGAUCCAGACUCUUCCCAUUCUUCCUCUUCCUUUAAGUCUGUGGAAGACUCUAUUUUACGCCUUUUUGUUUUCUUUUUUAUCAGCAGGUUUACCUUUUUACUCUAUUCUAACACUUUUCCUUUCUCCUGUUUUUUCUUUAGCCGUUUUUCUGCUGUUACGUUUCUAAUUCUCUCUUUCACGUUUUUCAUUUUCUUUUCUAUGGUAAUAUUCCUGCCACUGUUCGGGCAACGUUCUGGAAUCUUUUCUCUUCUUUUCUUUCCCUCUGUCUCACUCUCUCUCCCCUAGCUAGAACUUUUUUGAAUCGAGUUGGUAUUAACUGACCAUCAACUACUGACUUUCUCUUAACCUUUUUCCUUUUUACGGUUAUCAUCACUGUUCUUCUCUUCUGUAGCUGCAGCCAGCUUUUGUUCAUUUGGUGUCUGGUGUGUUGGUACUCAAAUUGCUUGGAGAAUCCUUUGAUUUAUAUAAUUUUUUCUAUAGGUGUUCUGGUGUUUUUCGAUUAAGGCUAUUGGACGAACCUGUGACGUCCAAGACAUUCUCAAAAUCAGUGCUUGUCCAUUCUUCUUAUUCCUAUUAUUAUUGCUUCUACCUUCAUCAGUUUUUUUAUUUCUGUAAUUAUCAUUUUCACCUUUUGGUACAAAUUAAAUAAGGAUAAAUGUUGUAAAUCUCCAGACCACUCAAGUAUGGUGGCAUUGAAGCUCUUGUGUCCUUAAAAAUCUCAGUUCCUAUUCAUAUUCAUUUCCGGUGAGACUUUUAUUUUGGGAGUUCUGAUAAGAAAUCGUAGCAACAGGAGUAGGAUUUAGAACUUCUGUUGAAAUCUCUACCACUUAUAUGCUCCAAGGUACCAAACCACAUUUUCUAAAAACAUUUUGUAGAAUUUCCUUGGUAAUUCGACUCCAGAAUUUGAUUUAACAAAGAACAAAAAUCUUUUCCUUUCAAAAUAGGAUUUUCCAAGUGAUGCACUGCACCAUUCUUGCACUGCAAGUUUUCAGCCUUCUUUUAGGGUUCUAAAGAUGGCAACGUUCAUAGGUUGUAUUAAGUGUGCUGCGUUUGGAUACAGUGGAACUAAAAUAUCAAUACCUGGAUCACCACAAAAUUUGCUAGUGUAAUAGGUGAGAUGAGAUGAGAUGAAUACCCAUAAAUUUCAACUUUUUCUUGAAGAAGCCAAGGAUAGAAAGUGUUGGUAACGUAUUUAUAAAAUGUUGCGCGGUUCAUCCAGUCCGACUAUGAUUUACCUAUCGACCAGGAGCCGGGGACACUGUCGGAUAUGUCACGAGGUAUUCCGUCUUCUUCUUCAACGAUUAUUCCAACUCCUGCUGCUACUAGUUUAUGCUUAGCGACACCGCUGUAUAUUAGUACCUAUUUCGGUAUUUUGAUGCUUCUUUUCCCUUUGAGCCUAUCAAUGUCAAUUUCUAGUCGAGUUCGUGAAGGCUUGGACCGUCCUAUUCCGAAACUGAUCGUUGGAUCUGCGAGCAGAUAAAUUCUAUUUACGUCCGGCAGGUUGCUGGCCUCACCUGAUAACCCUCCUCCUUUACCCGGGCUUGGGACCGGCAGUAGCAGUCACCAGGCUACUCUAUCCACCCAGCAACCAACCACAGGUGUAGUUGAGGUAUUCUGUCAAAACAACCAUUGGUGGAGCUACUUUUCUAACAGCACUUGCAACCGUGUGAAUCUUCAUUUACUUUCUGGUGUACAAUUUUUUGUUCCCUGCUAGCUAACACUUUAUUUAAGGUAGAACGGCCAAUUACUGGGUGGUUUACCCAUGAUGUAUAGAAGGUUAAAAUCCAUUUGUUUGAAACCUGUUUCUAAUAAAGUAAAUAUGUGUAAUCACAGGAAAGUAAUCAAUUUUUCAUAAUUAUUAAACGCGUUUUUUACGUA